UCUAUCAUGAUGUUAAUUCAGUAUAGUUCAUUAGAAACAAACAUGUUACAAGAUUUUGAAUCUGAU
Molecule: small nucleolar RNA, 66 nt
Filed under: Drosophila grimshawi
Lineage: Eukaryota; Metazoa; Arthropoda; Insecta; Diptera; Drosophilidae
Description: snoRNA:GH25773
Source: RNAcentral